Molecule: ribosomal RNA, 253 nt
Filed under: uncultured bacterium
Lineage: Bacteria
Description: partial 16S ribosomal RNA
Rfam family: Bacterial small subunit ribosomal RNA
Source: RNAcentral
UACGUAGGGAGCAAGCGUUGUCCGGAAUCAUUGGGCGUAAAGGGCGCGUAGGCGGUCUGGUAAGUCAAGUGUGAAAAUCAUCGGCUCAACCGGUGAACUGCGCUUGAAACUGCGGGACUAGAGAUCAGGAGAGGAAAGUGGAAUUCCUAGUGUAGCGGUGAAAUGCGUAGAUAUUAGGAAGAACAUCGAUGGCGAAGGCAGCUUUCUGGCCUGACACUGACGCUGAGGAGCGAAAGCGUGGGGAGCAAACAGG